GAAAGCUGUAACACAAGAAAAUAUCUCUAUCAAGUUAAACUUAUAAUUACAGUCCAAUUUUUUUUAUUUUUUUUUGUUAUGCCUAGCAUUUUCAAUUUUAAUUUUGUAUUGUAUAUAUUAAUAUUUAUAUUAGAUACUUAAUCUUAAAACUAAGUUAUUUUGCAAAACAGCUAGACCUUGUAUUUUCCUCAUACUUUGAUUUUGUAUCUUUCAACUCCAAUGCUUUUAAACUCUCUUAGUAAAUAUGUUGUAUG
RNAcentral lists this long non-coding RNA (254 nucleotides) under Capsella rubella. Its description in RNAcentral is "long non-coding RNA (CRUB_LNC001741)". The record is from RNAcentral. Lineage: Eukaryota; Viridiplantae; Streptophyta; Magnoliopsida; Brassicales; Brassicaceae.